Molecule: long non-coding RNA, 1410 nt
Organism: Topomyia yanbarensis
Lineage: Eukaryota; Metazoa; Arthropoda; Insecta; Diptera; Culicidae
Exons: 3
Source: RefSeq, a predicted model, not a curated record
AAGUCUACCCACAACAAAAACAAGAGAAAAAAUUUUUCAAAACAAUGAGAUUUCUUCUGCUACCAAGUUGCAGUUACUGUUCAACCGUUGCUGCAGUAAUUAUAAGAUAAUUGAAACAUUCCCUAUUGUUGACAACGAUGUUUGUGUUCUAUAUUUAAACCGUCGAAGCGUUGUUACAUAAACUAAGCGAGGGUGAAGAAAUCGGUCCUUAGAGACCAGCACAUGAACUCUAUCGUAUCAGAGCCCGCACCGGAGUUAUUUCCAGUGUACGACAGCUUGUUGACGCCGAUUGCUAGUGUAAAAUGCUUCCAAAAUUGCUCGGGUUACGUGUUGCGUCCCGUACAUAAUCGAUUCGUCCCGGGCAUUCGGCAUCUCCAGUGAAAGUGGUACUAAGUGACUUUGUGGAAAGUAGACUGCGUAAUUAGCAAGAGCUGUGGAUGUCAUUUUUCUUUGUUAUUGUGGAAAUAACUUUGAAAACCAACCGUCGAGGAUGUUUACGAUACCUUCGAGUAUUGCUCGUAAGAUGAAAGUAAGCGUGAUGGAACUGACAUCAAUUUCUACCAUAAACGUCUACCGUGGAGGCUAGCGGACACAAAAUUCUUCUAAGAAUUUCUAUGAUGCGAUGAAGGAUUGAACAGUUGGAUUAAUGAGCAUUACGAGCGGGUUUCAAAAUACGUCAAAGCCAGAUGAUAGAUACACCCUGUUCUGAUUUUGCCCACGUAUAUAGAGGAUUCCUAAUCCAUGAGAAGUAUAGUCAAGAUGCGGAUGAAUAGGUACAGAUUCUAUUGGUAUACCUGUCAAAAUGCAGUGAAAUGCAAAACUGGAAGAAAGUUGUUCACAGGUGUGAAUGUCCCUAUUAGAUUGCAACAAAUGUAGUUGAGGAAAGAAUGCAUUGUCACGCGAAAUUUCACUAUGAAACAGCACUUCACUACUGAGCUGGCAAAUUCAUACGGAAUGCCUUCCGGUUCCGUUUUUGUCGACGCUUAUUGCUGUCAGCCACUUUGCGCUGAAUCCGAACAUUUCCUAGAAAUCCUUGUAUUAGAGUGUUAAAGAUAUAAUCAAUAAGUCUAUCAAAGCAUGACCGGCAUGCUGCAAAAUCGAAAGCAUUAUAAUCGAUAUAGGCCUUCAAGCGUUUCUUGACACCUCUUCUGUUUUCAAAAAGAAAUUUCCGAAACUUCAGUUUGAAGCUCCAAAAGGCCUGUAGACCAACAGCAUAUAAAGUGUUAUUCGGAAUGUUAACCGAACGUGCGGAAAUUGAAGAUUUCAAUAAAGUGAACAAAUAAUCUUCGUUUUCUAGGAUCUCGUCAUCCUGCAGGGCUAUCAAUUUCUCUCGACACUUUCUAUGACGAAGUUUUCGCACAGCGGCUCCAAGAACGUAAACUAAAGCAUUAAUUUCCUUAGUUUGAACCA